RNAcentral lists this ribosomal RNA (492 nucleotides) under uncultured bacterium. Its description in RNAcentral is "partial 16S ribosomal RNA". It matches the Rfam family "Bacterial small subunit ribosomal RNA", at positions 29 to 507 of the family's 1533-position model. The record is from RNAcentral.
AGUGAACGCUGGCGGUAGGCCUAACACAUGCAAGUCGAACGGCAGCACAGUAAGAGCUUGCUCUUACGGGUGGCGAGUGGCGGACGGGUGAGGAAUACAUCGGAAUCUACUUUUUCGUGGGGGAUAACGUAGGGAAACUUACGCUAAUACCGCAUACGACCUACGGGUGAAAGCAGGGGAUCUUCGGACCUUGCGCGAUUGAAUGAGCCGAUGUCGGAUUAGCUAGUUGGCGGGGUAAAGGCCCACCAAGGCGACGAUCCGUAGCUGGUCUGAGAGGAAGAUCAGCCACACUGGAACUGAGACACGGUCCAGACUCCUACGGGAGGCAGCAGUGGGGAAUAUUGGACAAUGGGCGCAAGCCUGAUCCAGCCAUACCGCGUGGGUGAAGAAGGCCUUCGGGUUGUAAAGCCCUUUUGUUGGGAGAGAAAAGCAGCAGGUUAAUACCCCGCUGUUCUGACGGUACCCAAAGAAUAAGCACCGGCUAACUUCGUG